GAUGAACGCUGGCUACAGGCUUAACACAUGCAAGUCGAGGGGCAGCAUGCCGGUUGCUUGCAACCGGUGAUGGCGACCGGCGCACGGGUGAGUAACGCGUAUCCGACCUUCCCGCGACCAAGGGAUAACCUGCCGAAAGGCAGACUAAUACCUUAUGUCCUCCUUUGAAGGCAUCUGACGAGGAGCAAAGAUCCGUCGGUCACGGAUGGGGAUGCGUCCGAUUAGCUUGUUGGCGGGGCAACGGCCCACCAAGGCUUCGAUCGGUAGGGGUUCUGAGAGGAAGGCCCCCCACACUGGAACUGAGACACGGUCCAGACUCCUACGGGAGGCAGCAGUGAGGAAUAUUGGUCAAUGGGCGGAAGCCUGAACCAGCCAAGUAGCGUGCAGGACGACGGCCCUACGGGUUGUAAACUGCUUUUAUGCGGGGAUAAAGUUGCCCACGUGUGGGCUUUUGCAGGUACCGCAUGAAUAAGGACCGGCUAAUUCCGUGCCAGCAGCCGCGGUAAUACGGAAGGUCCGGGCGUUAUCCGGAUUUAUUGGGUUUAAAGGGAGCGCAGGCCGCCGUGCAAGCGUGCCGUGAAAAGCAGCGGCCCAACCGCUGCCCUGCGGCGCGAACUGCUUGGCUUGAGUGCGCCGGAAGCGGGCGGAAUUCGUGGUGUAGCGGUGAAAUGCUUAGAUAUCACGAAGAACCCCGAUUGCGAAGGCAGCCCGCUGUGGCGCCACUGACGCUGAGGCUCGAAGGUGCGGGUAUCGAACAGG
RNAcentral lists this ribosomal RNA (759 nucleotides) under uncultured Prevotella sp. Its description in RNAcentral is "bacterial SSU rRNA". It matches the Rfam family "Bacterial small subunit ribosomal RNA", at positions 28 to 776 of the family's 1533-position model. Lineage: Bacteria; Pseudomonadati; Bacteroidota; Bacteroidia; Bacteroidales; Prevotellaceae. The record is from RNAcentral.